GCCACGGUGGUCUAGAGGUUAGAACGCUGGCCUUGUAAUCCUGGGGUCUCGGGUUCGAUUCCCGGCGGUGCCC
Molecule: non-coding RNA, 73 nt
Organism: Zootermopsis nevadensis
Lineage: Eukaryota; Metazoa; Arthropoda; Insecta; Blattodea; Termopsidae
Source: Rfam